CUUUUCCUCCUAGUUCCAUUUGAAGAGGGAUCAUGCCUGACUUCUUUGAUAUUGCAAUUCCAGUGUCUCCACCAGUGAAGCUGAAUGAAUUUUAGGGCACGAAAAUGUGACUAAUAGUAAAACUGAUAGAUCAUAAGAGGUUACCUUAUACAGUUAACUCCAGGAUGCAUUGUGAGAAAAUCCCCAAUCUCAGAACCUUUCCCAGUGACACAACUAAUAAGGCCUUUAG
Long non-coding RNA from Telopea speciosissima, 229 nucleotides. RefSeq lists it as uncharacterized. The transcript has 2 exons. The record is from RefSeq and is a predicted model, not a curated record. Lineage: Eukaryota; Viridiplantae; Streptophyta; Magnoliopsida; Proteales; Proteaceae.